Asticcacaulis sp. YBE204 is the source of this 119-nucleotide non-coding RNA. The record is from Rfam. NCBI's taxonomy places the organism in Bacteria, Pseudomonadati, Pseudomonadota, Alphaproteobacteria, Caulobacterales, Caulobacteraceae.
GGAGGUCGGCCCACCGGCAUCGGCGUCCAGACGCAGGUGUCAAACCACCCCAAGCGGCUGUGGUCAAAAGCCAUGGUCGUGAGCAUUGGGGCUAAAUGUGAGGGAUAAACCGUGCUGGU